Non-coding RNA from Macaca mulatta (Rhesus monkey), 4099 nucleotides. NCBI's taxonomy places the organism in Eukaryota, Metazoa, Chordata, Mammalia, Primates, Cercopithecidae. The record is from RefSeq and is a predicted model, not a curated record.
AGAACAUGAUGGGGUCUCAUUUUAAUGCCUCUCCAGACCUAGUAAUUUAAAAGGACUCACAUUCCUCAGAUAAAAGUGCUUUCUCAAAAAAGAAAUAAUCAGGGCAAAACCAAGUGCUGUAGGAGCCUUACAUGAGUAUGAUUAUUCCUACUUUACAGCAGGAGUACCUCUGAGGUUCAGAGGUUUGGGAUGGCAGGCCUUCGAUUUGAGCCAGAACACAGUCCAAUCCCCAAGAGGCAUAUUCUCCAGGACUAAAGAUGGCGCCCACGGCCGGCGUUAUGACGCGCCCCGACGUCCGCCGGAAGUGCACGGAGGAGUUCCGAGAACCAGGCGGCCGCCGAGAGUCUGGUAUCCUGAGCUUCGUGAGUUGAGCGCUGCUGCUCCACGGUGGAGUCACCGCAUCGCUCCCGUGAUCAUGGUGUUCUACUUCACCAGCAGCAGCGUUAAUUCAUCUGCCUACACUAUUUACAUGGGAAAAGAUAAAUAUGAAAAUGAAGAUCUGAUCAAGCAUGGCUGGCCUGAAGAUAUCUGGUUUCAUGUGGACAAACUCUCUUCGGCUCAUGUAUACCUUCGAUUACAUAAGGGAGAGAAUAUAGAAGACAUCCCAAAGGAAGUGCUGAUGGACUGUGCCCACCUUGUGAAGGCCAAUAGCAUUCAAGGUAAAAAUUGUGACAGUGGAGAAGAAAGUAAAUGAGAUCCUGAACCGAUUAGAAAAGACCAAAGUGGAGCGGUUCCCAGACCUAGCAGCAGAGAAAGAAUGCAGAGAUCGUGAAGAGAGGAAUGAGAAAAAAGCCCAAAUUCAGGAAAUGAAAAGGAGAGAAAAAGAAGAAAUGAAGAAGAAGAGGGAAAUGGAUGAACUUAGGAGCUAUUCAUCACUAAUGAAAGUUGAAAAUAUGUCUUCAAAUCAGGAUGGCAAUGAUUCAGAUGAAUUCAUGUAAAAGGAGAAAAGGACCUUUGAAAGAUGUGAAUGUAGAGACAAUUGCAGACCUUUUGGUUUCAUCUGUGUUCUGAAGUAUAAAAUACAACCAAAAUUCUACCUUCAUCCUACCCAGAAAUUAUUGAUUUUCGAGUUUUAAAAAAAUUGUACCUUUUUUGCUGACAGAAAAGGAUCAGAUAUGUAUAAAAUAGUUGAACUUGACAGCAUAUAACCUAACGUGAAAAUGUUUUUGCCAGAACAUGUCUUGGUACCUUGUGAAAGCAGGCUGCCCUUGUUCUUGAGAUAGACUUUAAAGUGAAACAACUCUGAAAAGUACUUCUGUUGCUCUGGUCUAUCCCUGAAAACAGAUGUCUUGAAACACUUUUCAUAUUCUUAAAAUAAUCUUCACUUCUGUUAAGAAGAACAUGUUGGUGGGUAAUUAUGCGAAUGUUUCCCUGUCCCUGAUUUCCCGAUUAGAAAAAAGGGCGUAUGGGUUUUGAAAAAGAGAUUUUUCAGAAGAUUGUAAGCUUCACUAUUCAUGUUCCAUCGUGUCAUCUGGGUCUAUAGUGUAGUGACCCUCAACAGUCUGUCCCAGCUUUUAUAUCCUUGCUUCCUCUGAGCAGGGGCCUCCAUCUUAGUAUCAUCAUAUUUAAAGAAAUCGAUGGUGUUCAUCAAGGUGGGGCCUGUGGCAGUUGUUGCCUGAGCACCGAGUAACCCAAGCCACCUAUGCGACAACUUCUGGGCCCAGGAGUAAUUUCUCAGCAUUGAGGGUAAAAUAGGAUGGAGUGCUCUGUUGAUCAUUUGGGAGAUGUAGGCUACCUGAUUUGUGCCUUGGGAUGCAGCGUGAAGCAGAAGUCCAUAUUGCAGUUGUGAUUUUAGAAGGAACUAAGCGUUUCACUAGCCAGCCAAGUAAUUAUUUUCUUUACCUUGAAGUCAUAUUUGAGUUGUAACCCCAGAGUUAAUUUCUCAUUGUAGAUUCAGUAACUUAGUAUGUAACAUUACUUCUCACGCGAACCCCUCGCUAUCUGUUGUGGUUCUGAGCAGAGGAUGUCUUUUGAUUGCAGUAUGUAAGGCAACCCCUGUGGAAGGAGGCGAAACAAGGAGAAAGAGAACAAAGCCUGCCGGACCAGAGGCGAAGAGAUGGAUAUUUUACUCACACCCACAGCAGCAAGAAUGACCUCCUGCAGCAGAUAUUCCACCUGUAAUAGCACUUUGGAACUGUGGGCAAAACCAAAAGGCUAGUGUUUCCAUUUAUUUCACGUUGGUGAAUGGGGUUGAACUGGAAAAUUCACGGAGGCAUAACUCACUGGCCGAAUUUUGAGAGGGUGUAGAAGAUGACUUUAGAGAUGAGUGGUUUUGUUUAUGUGUCUAAUGAUAUUCAGUCUGACGUUCUGCAAUUUUAAAAGUUAUAAUAAAGUAUCAUUUUUUUUAUCUGGAAGGACAUUGAUAUAUGUAUUCUUAGAAUUUGCUAUAAAAAGGGUAGCCCCCAUUCCACAAGCUGAUUUUGAGGGUGAUCUUACUGUAAAAAACCUCAUUCAUCAUAGGCUUAGUCUGACAGAUUCCGUAGGGGACUAUCAUCUUUCUCCUCCUCUGCUAAAUGCCUCUUUCUUCCAGCUGCUCACUGGGUCGAAGGGAUGUCCUUUCUCAGAUACACUCUUGAUUGACUGUGAAUUCAUAGCUGUGCUCCUUCCGUACUUCCAAGGAGUCCGGCUUCUGCAGAAUUCCUCUGUACCUCACACUGCAACACGUGUAGAUAGCGCCUUUGAAGAAUACCUAUAUUUUUACUAUAGUAUGAGAAGUCCUGGGGCUCAAAUUUUAAACAUUUCCUAACUCUCAGCUUACACUGGUUUAAAAUGUCCAGGUCUCUCUGCUGAAUUCUCUUGUUGAAUUCGUAACUGUCCAACCUCAUCUAUGUUGAUUCCUACGCCCCCACUCCCCAGCCUCUGUGUUUUAUUUUUUUCCCCAUCUCUGCUGGUCCCAGGGAAAGCAAGGACGUUUUCUUUUGAGGACUUAUAGGUUGAUCGCCCACAGGUCAAACUGUUGGCAUUGAACCGCUCUCAUUUCUUGCUAUUGGAUUGUUUCCUAAACGUUGGAUAGGGGAAUUCGAAAUUGUUGCUAUUUUUAUGAGCUGUGCCCUUGAUCAAAUCUGUGCUGUGGGUCUGAGUCACUUUGCCAACACUGUCUUCAGUUUCACCACUCUGAUCAGCAUGCAGGCGAGGGGCAUGUUUAGUUUACUUCCCUAACUGCUGUCUUCUAUAGCUUUGGACUUCAUAUUUCUUAUCCACUUUUGUCUAGGCUUUAUGGGCAGGGGAACUUUGUCACCGUGGUUGGGCUACAACAAAUCUUAAGAAGUUUACCAACACAGAUGUUGAGAAGUUUAUCGAAAAGCACUGACAUUAGCAGAAUAGGUGAUGGACAUUAGUUGAAUCUCUUCAGUGUCUAUGUGUUUUGUUGUAUUGUCUUUCACUUGUUCUUGAAGCAUAGAUUGCAGCGAGCCUUUCAGCUGUUCAGUGCCAGCGGUUUUCCCCACUCAGAAAAGAUGGUGUGAGCCAUGCACACAGCCGGCAGGAUUAGACGGGGAGAGUUUCAGCUGCAGCUUCUAGUUUAAGACCAAAGCCCUUCCUCCCACUAUUGCAUCUGUCUGAGAGGGGGAAGUUCUUGUUUUCCAAGCUGGAACUGUUUAUGAGGAAAACGGAGCAGAGUGGCAAAAUGGAAAAGGAACAAUUUUCUAAUUUUUCCUGACACGUGAUACUGAGGCCUGCUUUUCUUUGAUUUGAGGUACAGCAUGUGAAUAACAAAUUUCCAUAUUCAAAAUGAUCAUAUUAGAGUGACUGGAUGACCUUUUGAUUUUAAAGCAGACUAAAACCUAAUCAGACUACAACCAAAAGUAUACAAUUAGAAACUUAAAUUCCAAGCUAAAUUUCAGCUUUGACCCACCUAACUCCAGUGAAUAGGUGGCAGCUCAGAAACAAGGACGGCACUGCUGCUGCCCGGGCAAGCUCACAUCCAGCUGGCACUUCGUGAGAGCUCCUUCCUGCCAGGCACGUGUGAGUUCAGUGUGGGCAAGAGACUUUUAUGCACAUUCUGUCGUUCAAAAGGGAGAUGAUACCAACCCCAGAUGCAGCAUGUCCUGAAUGAAUGAUCUGUAAAAUACAAUAAUAAAAGCUUAUAGUUUGAGUAGAA